This 298-nucleotide ribosomal RNA is filed under the name Paracoccus sp. (in: a-proteobacteria). RNAcentral describes it as "Paracoccus sp. partial 16S ribosomal RNA". It matches the Rfam family "Bacterial small subunit ribosomal RNA", at positions 121 to 435 of the family's 1533-position model. The record is from RNAcentral. Lineage: Bacteria; Pseudomonadati; Pseudomonadota; Alphaproteobacteria; Rhodobacterales; Paracoccaceae.
GGAACGUGCCCUUCUCUACGGAAUAGCCCCGGGAAACUGGGAGUAAUACCGUAUACGCCCUUUGGGGGAAAGAUUUAUCGGAGAAGGAUCGGCCCGCGUUGGAUUAGGUAGUUGGUGGGGUAAUGGCCUACCAAGCCGACGAUCCAUAGCUGGUUUGAGAGGAUGAUCAGCCACACUGGGACUGAGACACGGCCCAGACUCCUACGGGAGGCAGCAGUGGGGAAUCUUAGACAAUGGGGGCAACCCUGAUCUAGCCAUGCCGCGUGAGUGAUGAAGGCCUUAGGGUUGUAAAGCUCUU